Molecule: ribosomal RNA, 2258 nt
Filed under: Triticum aestivum (bread wheat)
Lineage: Eukaryota; Viridiplantae; Streptophyta; Magnoliopsida; Poales; Poaceae
Description: partial small subunit ribosomal RNA
Source: RNAcentral
GAGCCAGUCACCGCGGUGCGAGCGCCCAGUCCCGGCCGCCGCCAGCGCUCGAUGCUGACCGCCGUGUCCAAGUUCCGCAACAAAUCCGGUCUCGCCAGCACCACCCGUGUUAUGCCCUUCUUCCUCUCCACCUUCCCCGCCCACGCCACCGCCGCUCCGCUCUGCCCUCCUCCGUCCCCAUACCCUAGCCCCCACUUCCGCCUCCCUUCCCUGCCCCGCCGCGGCCUCGCCUUCCUCGCCGCCGCUGCGCCGCCGCGGGCCCUGCCCCCCACGCCCAGGCAGGCCAUGGCGUCGCUGGCGACGUCGACGGCGGCCGCCGCCGCCGCGGAGGUGACGCACCUCUCGCAGCGCGACGCUGCGGAUAUCGACGAGCAGCUCAUGGGCCCCCUCGGUUUCAGCGUCGACCAGCUCAUGGAGCUCGCCGGGCUAAGCGUCGCUACGGCCGUCGCGGAGGUUUAUAAGCUGAGUGAGCAUACGAGGGCUCUUAUCAUCUGUGGUCCGGGAAAUAAUGGUGGUGAUGGUCUGGUUGCUGCUCGCCAUCUUUAUCAUUUUGGAUACAAGCCCUUUGUUUGUUAUCCAAAACGUACCGCCAAACCUCUUUAUUCUGGCCUUGUUACUCAGCUUGAAUCGCUGGCUAUCCCGUUUGUGCCUGUUGAAGACCUACCUCAGGACUUAUCAGGGCAGUAUGACAUUGUUAUUGACGCGAUGUUUGGUUUCUCAUUUCAUGGAACACCCCGACCACCCUUUGAUGAUCUUAUCCAAAUGCUUGUUUCAUUGAGUGUUGUUGGUGAUUCAGCGAAAAGACCACCAAUUGUUUCUGUUGAUAUCCCUUCUGGGUGGCAUGUAGAAGAGGGAGAUGUCAGUGGAGGAGGAAUUAAGCCUGAUAUGCUGGUAUCAUUGACUGCACCAAAGCUCUGUGCCAAAAAAUUUACUGGGCCCCACCAUUUCCUAGGGGGUAGGUUUGUCCCGCCUCCCAUUUCGAGCAAAUAUGGGCUCGAACUUCCACCAUAUCCUGGAACCUCCAUGUGUGUAAGAAUUGGAAAAGUGCCGUCAGUUGACAUUUCAUCUCUCAGGGAGAAUUAUAUUUCCCCAGAACUUCUUGAGAACCAAGUGAUGCCUAAUCCAUUUGACCAGUUUCGUAGUUGGUUUGAUGAAGCAGUUACUGCUGGCCUGCGCGAACCAAAUGCCAUGGCUUUAACAACUGUCAAUAAAGCGGGAAAGCCUUCUUCAAGAAUGGUUCUUUUAAAAGGCGUUGAUAAGCAGGGAUUUGUUUGGUACACAAAUUACGGUAGCCAAAAAGCACAUGAUUUAUCGGAAAAUUCAAAUGCGGCACUUCUUUUCUACUGGAAUGAGAUGAACCGACAGGUUAGAGUAGAAGGGUCAGUUCAGAAGGUCUCAGAAGAAGAAUCUGAGAAGUAUUUCCACAGCCGCCCACGUGGAAGUCAGCUUGGUGCUAUUGUUAGCAAGCAGAGCACUGUCAUUUCUGGAAGAGAAGUUCUCCAACAAGCGUACAAGGAAUUGGAACAAAAAUAUUCUGAUGGUAGCUUCAUCCCAAAACCUGAUUACUGGGGUGGGUACAGAUUGACACCAAAUCUUUUUGAGUUCUGGCAAGGCCAACAGUCUCGUCUGCAUGACCGGCUACAGUAUUCACAGCGAGAAGUAGGUGGGAGUACAGAAUGGCACAUCCAAAGGUUGUCCCCUUGAUCAGUAACCUCCUUAAAGCUCUCGCCUCUUGGUAAUAAAAGGGGGUGUCGUUUUGGUACCUGCGCACACUUGCUCCUGGUACCUAAUGGACUGCAAUUUCUUGAUUGGAGAUGUGUGCUAGAUGUAUUUUCGUGAUAUAUAUGUGAAUGCAGAAAAGCAGGAUACAUGAGGCGUAUAAGCCGAUUUAAUGCAGCAGGCCCAAACUCGCGAGGCAGGCUGUGAAGAUUGCUGUUAUGUUGCUCGUUUGUUUGAUGGCUGGCGCUACUCCGAACUCACAUGGGCCAUCGGCCCAGGAUGUGCAACCCUUAUGUUCCAUGGUUUCCAGCCUGUAACCGAGGGCUCUCUUCACACUGGAUACUUCUCAUGUGCUACUAUUUCUUAGUGUCUCGACUCUUUUCACAUAAAUGAAUUGGUGAAAGUCUGAACUUGCUGACAAAUAUGUAGAGUCCAUUUUUCCUGUAUUGACGACCGAGCUUGUCAGGGUUGUGUGUUGACAAAUUAUAUGGUAUUUUCCUAUUAAAAAACUUACAUGGUAUAUUAAAUGUACAUGGUUU